Oncorhynchus tshawytscha (Chinook salmon) is the source of this 9436-nucleotide long non-coding RNA. Lineage: Eukaryota; Metazoa; Chordata; Actinopteri; Salmoniformes; Salmonidae. The record is from Ensembl.
AGAGAAUUCAGAGCACAGUUCCUAGUUCCUGACCUCUGGUGUGCACCUGUGCGCACAUUCUCAGGAAGCUCCCAUGUUGCCAGGGAUCACAACAACAGUGGGACAAAACAUCGCAGUGGUCUAGAAUCAACUCAGCACAGCUAGAAGUGUCAACACGACUUGAGCAUUGAAGAUGUUGCGAUUGCUGUUUCUGUGUUUGAUUGUGACUCUGCAAGGAGCUGCUGGUACGUAUCACAUGUUCUCACCUUCCCACAAUGCUCUGGCAGCAGACACUGAGACACUGACAAAGAUCUAAUCACACAGAUCACCUUUUUAUUGUUUUUAUGCCUGUAUGUGUUCCAUACGAGAAAUAUACACCGUCUCUCUCUGAGUCCUAUAGCUUCCAGGGGUAGCAGAAUAUUAAGAGGAAAACUGCUUAGAAGAACCUAGGCUGAUACUUAAGAUAGCCUGCAAAGUUCUGUCAUACUUUCCAGGUCUAUGCCCAAACAGUUCCAGCUUCUAAUUUAAAAAAUGAAUCUCUCCAGAAAUAAGUCGCUCACUGUUGUCUCCUGUUAUAGACCCCUCUCAGCUCCCAGCUGUGCUCUGGACUCCAUAUGUGAAUUGAUUGCCCCCCAUCUAUCUUCAGAGUUCAUUCUGUUAGGUGACGGAAACUGGGAUAUGCUUAACAACCCGGCAGUCCUACAAUCUAAACUAGAUGCCCUCAAUCUCACACAAAUGAUCAAGGAACCCACCAGGUACAACCCUAAAUCUGUAAACAUGGGCACCCUCAUAGAUAUUAUCCUCACCAGGAUCUCAGUGAUCACUGCCUCAUUGCCUGCAUCCGCCAUGGGUCCGUGGUCAAACAACCACCACUCAUUACUGUCAAACGCUCCCUAAAAAAACCUCUGUGAGCAGGCCUUUCUAAUCGACCUGGCCUGGGUAUACGGGAAAGAUAUUGACCUCAUCCCAUCAGUCGUUCUUUAAAAGUAAUUUCCUCACCAUCCUAAAUAAACAUGCCCCUUCAAAACAAUGUAGAACUAAGAACAGAUAAAGCCCUUGGUUCACUCCAGACCUGACUGCCCUCGACCAGCACAAAAACAUCCUGUGGCGGACUGCACUAGCAUCGAAUAGUCACCGCGAUAUGCAACUUUUCAGGGAAGUCAGGAAUCAAAACACGCACUCAGGCCGGCAAGCGAAGGCUAGCUUAUUCAAACAGAAAUUUGCAUCCUGUAGCUCUAACUCCAAAAAGUUUUGGGACACUUUAAGGCCACGGAGAACAAGAGCACCUCCUCCCAGCUGCCCACUGCACUGAGUCUAGGUAGUACUGUCACCACCAAUAAAUCCACGAUAAUCGGGAAUUUAAAUAAGCAUUUCUCUACGGCUGGCCAUGCUUUCAUCCUGGCUACCCCAACCCCGGCCAACAGCUCCACACCCCCCGCAGCUACUUUCCCAAGCCUCCCCAGCUUCUCCUUCACCCAAAUCCAGAUAGCAGAUGUUCUGAAAGAGCUGCAAAACUUGGUCCCCUACAAAUCAGCUGGGAUAGACAAUCUGGACCCUCUCUUUCUAAAAUUAUCCGCCGCCAUUGUUGCAACCCCUAUUACCAGUCUGUUCAACCUCUCUUUCCUUUCAUCUGCGAUCCCUACAGAUUGGAAAGCAGCCGCGUCAUCCCCUUCUUCAAAGGGGGUGACAAUCUAGACCCAAACUGUUAUAGACCUAUAUCCAUCCUGCCCUGCCAUUCUAAAGUCUUCAAAAGCCAAGUUAAUAAACAGAUCAUUGACCCUUUCGAAUCCCACUGUACCUUCUCUGCUGUACAAUCCGGUUUCCGAGCUGGUUACGGGUACACCUCAACAAUGCUCAAGGUACUAAACGAUAUGAUAACCGCUAUCGAUAAAAGACAGUACUGUAGAGCCGUCUUCAUCGACCUGGCCAAGGCUGUCGACUCUGUCAAUCACCACAUUCUUAUUCUUAUCGGCAGACUCAACAGCCUUGGUUUCUCAAAUGACUGCCUCGCCUGGUUCAACAACUACUUCUCAGACAGAGUUCAGUGUGUCAAAUCGGAGGGCCUGUUGUCCGGACCUCUGGCAUUCUCUAUGGGGGUAUGACAGGGUUCAAUUCUUGGGCCGACUCUUUUCUCUGUAUAUAUCACUGAUGUCGCUCUUGCUGCGGGUGAUUCCCUGAUCCACCUCUAUGCAGACUACACCAUUCUGUAUACAUCUGGCCCUUCUUUGGGCACUGUGUUAACUCACCUCCAAGCGAGCUCCAAUGCCAUACAACACUCCUUCCGUGGCCUGCAACUGCUCUUAAACGCUAGUAAAAUUAAAUGCAUGCUUUUCAAACGUUCGCUGCUCGCACCUGCCCACCAGCCCAGUAUCACUACUCUGGGCAGUUCUGACUUAGAAUAUGUGGACAACUACAAAUACCUAGGUGUCUGGCUAGACUGCAAACUCGCCGUCCAGACUCAUAUUAAACAUCUCCAAUCCAAAAUCAAAUCUAGAAUCGGCUUCCUUUUUCGCAACAAAACCUCCUUUACUCACACCGCCAAACAUACCCUCGUAAAACUGACUAUCCUACAGAUCCUCGACUUCGGCGAUGCCAUUUACAAAAUAGCCUCCAACACUCUACUCAGCAAACUGGAUGUGGUCUAUCACAGUGCCAUCCGUUUUGUCACCAAAGCCCCUUAUACCACCCACCACUGCGACCUGUAUGCUCUAGUCGGCUGGCCCUCGCUACAUAUUCGUCGCCAGACCCACUGGCUCCAGGUCAUCUAUAAGUCUAUGCUAAGUAAAUCUCCGCCAUAACUCCACUCACUGGUCACGAUAACAACACUCACCCGUGGCACGCGCUCCAGCAGGUAUAUCUCACCGGUCAUCCCCAAAGCCAACACCUCUUUGGCUGCCUUUCCUUCCAGUUCUCUGCUGCCAAUGACUGGAACGAAUUGCAAAAAUCACUGAAGCUGGAGACUAUUCCCCUCACUAACUUUAACCAUCAGCUAUCUGAGCAGCUAACUGAUCGCUGCAGCUGUACAUAACCCAUCUGUAAAUAGCCCACCCAAUCUACCUACCUCAUCCCCAUAUUGUUUUUAUUUACUUUUCUGAUCUUUUUCACACCAAUAUUUCUAUUUACACAUCAUCAUCUACACAUCUAUCACUCCAGUGUUAAUUUGCUAAAUUGUAAUUACUUCGCCACUAUGGCCUAUUUAUUGCCUUGCGAGGGCGCCAUUUGCACACACUGUAUAUAGACUUUCUUUUUUUCUAUUGUGUUAUUGACUGUACGCUUGUUUAUUCCAUGUGUAACUCUGCGUUGUUGUUUCUGUCACACUGCUUUGCUUUAUCUUGGCCAGGUCACAGUUGUAAAUGAAAACUUGUUCUCAACUAGCCUACCUGGUUAAAUAAAGGUGAAAUAUAAAAAUUAAAGUAUAUGUUUAGGAAAGAAUACAUAUACAUUAUAUAAACCACAGUUCAACAUAAAGAAGAUAUGAACCUGUAUAUGCUACAGUAGUGUUUUACUAUCUAUCUAAAGGUGUAGUUAGUUAUUUCCACAAAACUCUGAAACUGGUAAUAUUAAGAUGGCUACCUUUACCAUGAGCUAAAUGCCCUAGCCACAGAAGUAUGGAGUUCAUGAGUGAGUAUAUCAUUGAAUGGAUGGCAGCUCAAUCAUUCUGUAUAUCCCACAGUAGGAGUUCAUAGGAGAGUAGCUCUGCUCCCGUAUAGUGCAGAGAUGUAACGAAUAACCUUAGUGAUGUACAGUAAGAAGCUGCUGUGAGUUAAUCUGGUCCCAUCCUCCUGUCACGGUAGUUAAAAGAAGAGGUUCUCAAUCAGAGACGACAGACAGCUGUCCCUGAUUGAGAACCCUACCCGGCCAAAACAUAGAAAUACAAAUAAUAGAACAUAGAAUACCCACCCCAAAUCACACCCUGGGCGUGACACCUCCCCAUCUCUAUUCCCAUACAGCUUCCUCAGAAGAGAGUGAAGGAUCAGCAGACGUAGCAGGUAUGGAAUACAUCUUCAUCUGGAAACCAAAGGGGACAAAAUCACAUGUGGCAUGAAAUUUUCAUAAAUUCAGAAACAUUUUCAUAAAUUUGACAAAAGUGAUGAUUAUGUUUAGGAGUACCGUGAUGAUUCGAUAAUGUUCCAUGAGUGAACCCUCAAAUGAAGCACUGCAAUAGAACUACUGCUAAUCUUUAAAUGUAAUACAAGCUACUUUAUAUUGAUGCUGACUGGGCUUUUCCCUCUUCCUCUAUUCUGAAUAUCCCACAGACGGAGACGAUGAAGAUCUAUUCAAGCAAAACGGUGAGUUUAACCCUUUAACUCGCCCCCUGUUAGAAAUGUGAUGGGCAAGCAGCCCAGUCAGCAGAGUAAGAGAGAUCACACCUCUGUUACACAACCGUUCCCCUCAUCAUUACCCCCAGAAUGGAAUCAAUUAUCUGUGGGGAGAACCCCCCCUGUGUAUCCAUCAAGCAGAAGUUAGACCCCCCCCCCCUGUCAGGGCACUAAUCCACAUUGGCAUUCUCAUUUCCUCUCGGCAUCGCUAGCUGUCACUCUUCAUCUUCCCCAUGAUGUUGCUUUGAUAUAAUUACAGAGCUAUUUAGUACAGGGAGGACUGCCCCACAGGCCACAUCUUCUGGAGAAGCACCUUCUCUCAGCCAGGCCAGGAGAGGAGCCGCACUGCCGAAGCCCUUCUUCCUCCCCCUCAUCAGAAUCCAGGAGUGAAUGUUGAAUGCUUAAUGAUUGGCUGGGAGUGAAAACGAUCCAAUCAGAAUGAUGAUCUGUUAAAUCUGCCAGUUCUGUUCCUCCUCUGCCACAUUGAUCAGACAGUGAUAGAAUUAGUCAGUGAGCAGAUGAAUGAAUGUUUAUUUAUAUGUGUCUGUACUGGUGAUAUCCUUCUGAAUGGAAAUGGAGGUCGGAGAAUAAUUAGGUGUGUUCUUGCCUGUUUCAGUGAUCCCAAAUCUCAGGAAUGAUUACGUGGUUAUCGAACCUGAAACAAAUGAUAUUGUGGACACAAACAAGGCAACAGGAGAAAAAGUAGGGGAAGAUGGAUUUACUACCAUUGUCAUCAUCGUAGCCGUGAGUGUGGUGGCACUGUCAAUCGCAGUGAUAGUAGCCAUAGUGCUGGUCCGGCGCCGCAUGCACAACCGACCACAAGGGAUCUACUCAGUGCCUACAGAACAGGGAAUGAAAGGAACGGUCUAACCACAAGAUGAGCUCCAGUCCAAUUGGACACCUGCAGGGGAGGAGCUCUACAACACACUGACCUUUGACUCAGGAAGGGAACACUUUCCACCCCAGCCUGCUCUUACUGAACCACUCCCUACUGCUCUCCUCUCUGGGACCAUCUGUUACUGUGUCAUGGGUCCCCUCCAAAGCCAGUGUAACUUAGUUUCCUAUAUUUGGUCUGUUGUUCAUUUUUGUGCCACAUAUCUCAAUGUAUGUGUGUAUAUUUAAAAGGGCAUUCUGCAGUUGCUAAAUCCAUUUCUGGAUGUACUCAUUGAUUCUUGAAUAAUAUAUAUGCCUCAGUUCAACUGUCGUGCCCCAUCAGAACCCAAAACAUAAGCUUGUUUUAUGCCAAUGUUAGCAAACAAAGUAUGUUUAAACAAAUGCUAUAUAGCCUCAAAACAUGGUUAAAACUAUGAUUUUGAUAUCACGGAUAGUCAGUCUUUGCAUCCAUAGCUCAUAGCCUAUGAAUUUGAGAAUGGUUAUAUUUCUCUGGCCCCAUCCCUCAGUUUUUUACCAAAAUAGGGAGAGAACGCUUUAUUGUUUCAACUACGGAUUAUCCCUUUAUGCUUGGGACACAUAGCAACAUUUGGAACCUAAGUUUUGUCAUUGGAUUCUAUUGAAAAACCCUGAAGCCAAUGAAUGUGACCAAAUGUGACAAACUCCUUUUGUCCAAUGGCAUAUUUUUCAAGAAAAACAAGUAUUGCUAAAAGUCAUUUGCAAUUGUUCCGACAGGUUUCUCCGCUCCUUCACUAAACUAAACUGUAUUCAGAGUUGAUUUGGUGCAUUCAGAACAGGCUUUUUUUGCAUGAGAAAAACAAGUUUAAUCCACCCUAAACCAACCCAGUCCUCUCUAAAUUUCCCCAUUCAACUCUGUGACAUAUCCUGUCCUUGGCCUCUUAGUGACAACAGAAAAUACAGUUGAAAGAUAAAACUCUCCCAUCUUCUCAACCUCUGAAGGGGAAAAAAGGAAAAAAAAUGGGUGGAAAAAGCCAGUCAGGUCUGUUUGAACAUUCACUUGAGGUGGAGAAUUAAUCAACUUUAGUGAAUGAUGUUUUCUUUUCAACUCCCCCCAUUCUCUUUUUCUUUUUGAAAUGCUUUUGUUCAAAACGUCAACCACAUCACCGAUUGUAAAUUGCUCUCGGAUGGCUGAGGAAAGUCUGAUUUGAAUGGUUUAUAGUGCUGGGACAGGGACGGGGAUGGGGACGGGGACCGGGGGAUAGAGAGGAUAAAAUAAAGUGUGGGGGUAGGUAGGGUGGGAUGUGAGUGGGGAAAUACCCACCAUGCCCAUGUUUCAUUCAUACUGAGUACAGGGCCGCUCCACGAUCGCUCCCUGGCUCUACUUUCAUUUAAAUGGAAAUCAAUCAUGCCCCGUGAACAAAAGCUUUAGGGCCGAGGUGCUGGCUGGCUUAUUUCUUACUCUGCAUUACAGAGAAAGGCAGGGGUCAGAGGAGAGGGGGAGGUGGACAUUAUGUGCUUCUGCAUGACAGGGCUAUUCAUUUGUUGCGUUAUCAUGAGGGAACAAGGGUUGUUGUGAGUGUGUGUGAAUUACACCCACGAUCAAGUAGUGUUGAAAUAACUGGGUCUGUCUAAACAGCAUGCGCACUGUCUUUCUCCACUCAACCUUACUGCUGUGAUGUCAUCAGCUGGGGAUGGGCUUGGCUCCAGGCUGUACAGAAACACCUGUGUAAUUAGCGCCUCCAUCUCAUUUUGUGUUAUCUGGUUCACUCAAUCAGAAUUGUCCCAAUCUGUUUAAGUUGAUGAAAUUCAAUUAGUAGCUGGUGCUGCUAAUAGUGAGAAACAGAUCCUAAAUGCAUACGGAGUGGUAUGUGUGUGUCUGCACUCUGCAGGUGUUUGUGGGGUUUGAUUGAAGCAUCACAACUAGCCCAGUAAGCCUUUCUUAGAUGUAGUCUAGCUCUGACAGCAUUUCAAAAGGAGAAUAAUUUGACAUACAUUUAAAAGAACUUUCACUUACCCUUUGUUUACUGACCACAGUCAUAUUCAAGAAAGCCUUUUUCCCUACUCAGAAAUAGCAUGAGAAAUACCCUUCACCUGCAAAGCAGAUGUUGUGGUUACGAGUCUGCGACUAGUCUCACUAUAAGAUGAGGUUUGCAUAGAACAGUUUUUCUUGUUCACGAUACAAAGAACAUCUAAGAACCGUUCAAGCAAGCAUGUUGAAUAAGCCAUGAACCAAAUAAAGUGCAGAAAUCCUAAAAGAAUUGGUUUGACCUGUGUAAUGCCCUGUUCAUUCAGCUACACUCGCACAUCUCCGUGGCAUUAUGCUCCUUCAAAGCCACAAAGCAUUGCUAUUGUGAAUGCAUCAAAACUGAUUGUCCUCCAUUUAUUUCUUCCAGGCCUUACGUUGAAAAGGGUAUGAAAUGUUCAAAUAUUGGAAAAAAAUAUUGGAUUUUCAAAAGAGCUCCAUGGGCUUUUUCAGCUGUGCAAAAGUUUCUCUAGGUCAUUUUUCAUCUAAUCUUUAUUUUUUUGUCAAGAGAAAGCACUAUCGAGUUCAGCCAAUCCUUGACACUGUCAGACAUGUCAGUAACUUAUUAUACAAAAGUCCUUACACCACCCCCUCUCCAAAAAAACUGUUGUGCCUUCUGUCUUUUGAUGAAAAUAGGAAAAUGUAUCAACCAGCAGAUUUUGUUUGAUGAGCUUGAUGCAUUUCAGGGAUGAUGCGUCCUCUGCACAGCAAUACGUUAUGCAAAUGUCUUCCAAAAAAUUAUUUUCUUUGACAAGUAGCUUGGUGUAUUAUUAUAUUGUUAUGAAAUGUCCUAUUGUAAACUCAAUAUUCAAAUGAUAAUUUAGUCUUUUAGUUAAGCACACGUCUUCAGCAGUACUCAUAAUCAAUGCUGAUAAACCCUGUACAUUCUGUUUGCUCAGGAUCAUUAACUAUUUGUAACGUACAGCAGCGAAGUGUUUUGACAAUGCUCUAUAUUUCAUCCAUUCCUAUGUCUAUGAAUCUGAGUCUGCUUUAGAAUAACGAGACCUGCACUAAAAGUGUAAUCUUGCUGUUCUACUUGUACUGUAGGUUUCCACAGCCCACACAUUCUCCAAUCAUUCAAUUUGGACUAGCAUUACUUAUGUUCUGUAUAUGGCUCUUCUAUAUCAUGGAUUAUGACUAUUUUUACAUUAAAUGUGUUCUGCUAUGCUUUGUCUCGGCGUGAAUGCUUCACGAUAUGCCAUAUGGACACAGAGCUGGUACACUAUAUGGCAUAAUCCAAAGUUUUGCUCAUUUAAAUUGUAAAUUGUACAAUGAAAAGCCACUAAGAAGCUUAAAAUAACUUUCUACUAAAACAUUUUGUCAGUCUGUUUUCUGAGUAAAGAACAUGCUGGAACUACUGACCAUCUGUUUUCUUUGUGAGUUAUACAAUACAGGAAAGGGAAGCGAACAGGUUUUAUUUUUACAUCCUGAUAACUUUAGGGGUAUUUUGAAGAUUAACAGAUAGUGGAAUGUUUUUCAGGGCCAUUUUAUUCAUGAGGCUUAUUGUAUGAGGCUCGGCCGUUUCUGAGGUAAUGAUUUUAAACGUUUUCAUAGAAACAGCUUGGCUAGAGUUGAGCAGGCUGUUCGAUAGAGGAGGUGGAAACCUGAAUUCAAACAUGACUCAUCUUGUCAUUAUCCAGCCAGACUCGCAAUUAAUUUUAAUUUCAAAGUUGAAUUCGGUAAUGGAAAUAACAUUUAACAAAGACUAACAGGAAAAUAAUGCCCCUAUUCUUCACUUGUCAGCGUGACUCAUUUGUCCAUGGUUUAUUCUGGAGUUUUUUACAUUUAUUUUUUAUUUUCUCUCCACCUCUCUGUUCUGUUAUAAGGACAAUCAUGUGGCCAGUGACACUUUAAUUCUUGAAAGUCCAAUAUCUUGAAAACUUGACUGUUGACAUGCAAAACAUUUUGGAUCUGUAUUAACAGUGCAUUAAUGAAAAAAAUACCCAAAUAUAGUUUGAGUCGAAUUUCCAUUUAAAGGUAGAACAGAGAAGCUUCUCAGACACCUAUGUCUGUAUUGUGCCUUUGGCAUGUAGUAUUGGCAAUUCCCUACCCGGAACCAGAGGGACUGUUCGGUUAGAUGAGGCUGUCAGAGGCAUGAUGGACCUCCAUAAUAUCUGUGGAAAUGAGACCAUGAACAGGACAUGUAUGUGAUUUAUUAGAGAAAAUGUCAUCCACGUUGGUGACAAAUCUACAGAUAAAAUCUACAUGAAAAUCUGUGAAAAGCUAGGCAUGGAAUUUGCUGUCUCUGUGAUAUGAGAAAAAA